RNAcentral lists this ribosomal RNA (465 nucleotides) under uncultured bacterium. RNAcentral describes it as "partial 16S ribosomal RNA". It matches the Rfam family "Bacterial small subunit ribosomal RNA", at positions 28 to 507 of the family's 1533-position model. The record is from RNAcentral.
GACGAACGCUGGCGGCGUGCUUAACACAUGCAAGUCGUACGGUAAGGCCCUUUCGGGGGUACACGAGUGGCGCACGGGUGAGUAACACGUGAGUAACCUGCCCACAACUUUGGGAUAACGCUAGGAAACUGGUGCUAAUACUGGAUAUGUGCCCCUGCUGCAUGGUGGGGGUUGGAAAGCUCCGGCGGUUGUGGAUGGACUCACGGCCUAUCAGCUUGUUGGUGGGGUAGUGGCCUACCAAGGCGGCGACGGGUAGCCGGCCUGAGAGGGUGACCGGCCACAUUGGGACUGAGAUACGGCCCAGACUCCUACGGGAGGCAGCAGUGGGGAAUAUUGCACAAUGGGCGCAAGCCUGAUGCAGCAACGCCGCGUGCGGGAUGACGGCCUUCGGGUUGUAAACCGCUUUCAGCAGGGACGAAGCUUUUUGUGACGGUACCUGCAGAAGAAGCACCGGCUAACUACGUG